Molecule: long non-coding RNA, 365 nt
Organism: Pollicipes pollicipes
Lineage: Eukaryota; Metazoa; Arthropoda; Thecostraca; Pollicipedomorpha; Pollicipedidae
Exons: 3
Source: RefSeq, a predicted model, not a curated record
AUGGAAGUAAGUUCCCUUCGGAUCGCAAAACCCUUUCGAAUGAGUAAAUCUGGCUGCCGGGGCCGAUGCCUCACCGGCGACACCGGGUCAGAGUGCACGUCCAUAACCGGUACGUGCGACCCGCGCCCGCCAACAAAUGCUGCAAGAAGCGCUGCAGAAACAGAACGGGCCGGGCGGAUAGAGACGAUCAGUGGCCGUCGGACAGCGAUCCGUGCCGGCCGGUGGCCCUCUCGCCGGCCGCCGCCGGGCCGCUGAAGCAGCGCUGCACCGAGCGCUUCCACUCGGCUGAGGAGGUGUGCCGCGGCUGCGGCGGCGCGGACGUGAGAUACCCGCACGGCCGAGGCGGCGGCGGCGUAUAUGAUAGA